RNAcentral lists this ribosomal RNA (464 nucleotides) under Vreelandella stevensii. Its description in RNAcentral is "partial 16S ribosomal RNA". It matches the Rfam family "Bacterial small subunit ribosomal RNA", at positions 338 to 795 of the family's 1533-position model. The record is from RNAcentral. Lineage: Bacteria; Pseudomonadati; Pseudomonadota; Gammaproteobacteria; Oceanospirillales; Halomonadaceae.
CCUACGGGGGCUGCAGUGGGGAAUAUUGGACAAUGGGCGAAAGCCUGAUCCAGCCAUGCCGCGUGUGUGAAGAAGGCCUUCGGGUUGUAAAGCACUUUCAGUGGGGAAGAAAGCCUUGGGGCUAAUACCCUCGAGGAAGGACAUCACCCACAGAAGAAGCACCGGCUAACUCCGUGCCAGCAGCCGCGGUAAUACGGAGGGUGCGAGCGUUAAUCGGAAUUGCUGGGCGUAAAGCGCGCGUAGGCGGUCUGAUAAGCCGGUUGUGAAAGCCCCGGGCUCAACCUGGGAACGGCAUCCGGAACUGUCAGGCUAGAGUGCAGGAGAGGAAGGUAGAAUUCCCGGUGUAGCGGUGAAAUGCGUAGAGAUCGGGAGGAAUACCAGUGGCGAAGGCGGCCUUCUGGACUGACACUGACGCUGAGGUGCGAAAGCGUGGGUAGCAAACAGGAUUAGAUACCCCGGUAGUC